Molecule: ribosomal RNA, 207 nt
Filed under: uncultured bacterium
Lineage: Bacteria
Description: partial 16S ribosomal RNA
Rfam family: Bacterial small subunit ribosomal RNA
Source: RNAcentral
AGCGUAGACGGAUGGACAAGUCUGAUGUGAAAGGCUGGGGCUCAACCCCGGGACUGCAUUGGAAACUGCCCGUCUUGAGUGCCGGAGAGGUAAGCGGAAUUCCUAGUGUAGCGGUGGAAUGCGUAGAUAUUAGGAGGAACACCAGUGGCGAAGGCGGCUUACUGGACGGUAACUGACGUUGAGGCUCGAAAGCGUGGGGAGCAAACA